Molecule: transfer RNA, 67 nt
Filed under: Marmota monax (woodchuck)
Lineage: Eukaryota; Metazoa; Chordata; Mammalia; Rodentia; Sciuridae
Description: tRNA.Val
Source: RNAcentral
GGAUUGUGGCUCAGUGGUACAGCACUCGCCUAACACGAGGGAGGCCCUGGGUUCAACCCUCAAACCA